This 301-nucleotide ribosomal RNA is filed under the name uncultured bacterium. RNAcentral's name for it is "partial 16S ribosomal RNA". It matches the Rfam family "Bacterial small subunit ribosomal RNA", at positions 509 to 809 of the family's 1533-position model. The record is from RNAcentral.
CAGUCGCCGCGGGAAUACGUAGGGUGCGAGCGUUAAUCGGAAUUACUGGGCGUAAAGCGUGCGCAGGCGGUUUUGUAAGACAGAUGUGAAAUCCCCGGGCUCAACCUGGGAACUGCCUUUGUGACUGCAAGGCUAGAGUACGGCAGAGGGGGAUGGAAUUCCGCGUGUAGCAGUGAAAUGCGUAGAUAUGCGGAGGAACACCGAUGGCGAAGGCAAUCCCCUGGGCCUGUACUGACGCUCAUGCACGAAAGCGUGGGGAGCAAACAGGAUUAGAUACCCGCGUAGUCCCUGUCUCUUAUAA